UACGUAGGGUGCAAGCGUUAAUCGGAAUUACUGGGCGUAAAGCGUGCGCAGGCGGUUGUGCAAGACAGAUGUGAAAUCCCCGGGCUUAACCUGGGAAUUGCAUUUGUGACUGCACGGCUAGAGUGUGUCAGAGGGGGGUAGAAUUCCACGUGUAGCAGUGAAAUGCGUAGAUAUGUGGAGGAAUACCGAUGGCGAAGGCAGCCCCCUGGGAUAACACUGACGCUCAUGCACGAAAGCGUGGGGAGCAAACAGA
Molecule: ribosomal RNA, 253 nt
Filed under: uncultured bacterium
Lineage: Bacteria
Description: partial 16S ribosomal RNA
Rfam family: Bacterial small subunit ribosomal RNA
Source: RNAcentral